GCCAGGUGUGGUGGUGCACACCUGUAAUCCCAGCUACUGGGGAGGCUGAGGCAGGAGAAUUGCUUGAACCUGGGAGGCAGAGGCUGCAGUGAGGCAAGAUCUUGCCACUGCACUCCAGCCUGGGUGACAGAGCAAGACUCUGUCUGAA
This is a non-coding RNA of Pan troglodytes (chimpanzee), 148 nucleotides long. It matches the Rfam family "Metazoan signal recognition particle RNA". Rfam says of the family: The signal recognition particle (SRP) is a universally conserved ribonucleoprotein. It is involved in the co-translational targeting of proteins to membranes. NCBI's taxonomy places the organism in Eukaryota, Metazoa, Chordata, Mammalia, Primates, Hominidae. The record is from Rfam.